Molecule: ribosomal RNA, 284 nt
Filed under: uncultured prokaryote
Description: partial 16S ribosomal RNA
Rfam family: Bacterial small subunit ribosomal RNA
Source: RNAcentral
UACGGAGGGGGCAAGCGUUGUUCGGAUUUACUGGGCGUAAAGGGCGCGUAGGCGGAUGUUCGCGUCAGAGGUGAAAGCCCCGGGCUCAACCUGGGAACUGCCUUUGAAACGGGACAUCUUGAGUUCGGAAGAGGGUAGCGGAAUUCCCAGUGUAGAGGUGAAAUUCGUAGAUAUUGGGAAGAACACCAGUAGCGAAGGCGGCUACCUGGUCCGACACUGACGCUGAGGAGCGAAAGCAUGGGUAGCGAACAGGAUUAGAUACCCCUGUAGUCCCUGAGCGGGCU